RNAcentral lists this long non-coding RNA (680 nucleotides) under Equus caballus (horse). Its description in RNAcentral is "lncRNA (ENSECAG00000031701.3)". The record is from RNAcentral. Lineage: Eukaryota; Metazoa; Chordata; Mammalia; Perissodactyla; Equidae.
GGGCCCCCGAGGAGACGGCUGGCAGAUCCCAGCAGACUCACAUGGCUUCCACGCAGCUCAGCCUUGCUGGGGACAGGGCUGGUAUCAACUUCUCCUGUCAUUUCAACAGCAGGAUCCAGCUGCAUUUGGAGCUAACUGCAUCUCAUUUGUUUACAAGGUUCUGCAUCUCAUCUGGCAGAGACUGUCCUGGAGACGUGAACACCCCGCUGUGAAUGUCCUGCCUGUUGGAGGAUGCUGUGCCACAUAGCCCUCUCUCCUUCCACUGAGACUGCUCUUGCUAAUGGAACCCCCAGGGUGAGAGCCUGGCGCCCGGGGUGUUUCCAUUCUUGCUCUUCCAGCAGAAGAAGAACACAAGCUGCCUUUUUCCUGGACCAUCUGGGGGGCAGACAACGGAAACCCACUUCCUAAACUGACGGUGAAGCUCCUAAAAAACUGAGCAAGAGACCCAGGUGGAGGCCGGAACAAAGCCCCAGGGUCAUCAGAAGAGCAUUUUGUCAUCCAACAACGACAAGAAGCCUUGUAAUGCUGUGUCACCAGUGUACACCAAGCACCUAGAACAGUGUCAGGAACACGGUAAAUGCUCAACAAACGUUUGCUGAAUGAAUGUUCAAGAUCUGGUGAGGAAAGCAAGAGGAGUUGAAAGGAAGAUCUUACUUGCCUCUUAUGUCUCCCUUGGUUGG